GNNAUGCCGCGUGAGUGACGAAGGCCUUAGGGUCGUAAAGCUCUUUCGCCAGAGAUGAUAAUGACAGUAUCUGGUAAAGAAACCCCGGCUAACUCCGUGCCAGCAGCCGCGGUAAUACGGAGGGGGUUAGCGUUGUUCGGAAUUACUGGGCGUAAAGCGUACGUAGGCGGAUUGGAAAGUAGGGGGUGAAAUCCCGGGGCUCAACCCCGGAACUGCCUCCUAAACUAUCAGUCUAGAGUUCGAGAGAGGUGAGUGGAAUUCCAAGUGUAGAGGUGAAAUUCGUAGAUAUUUGGAGGAACACCAGUGGCGAAGGCGGCUCACUGGCUCGAUACUGACGCUGAGGUACGAAAGUGUGGGGAGCAAACAGGAUUAGAUACCCUGGUAGUCCACUGCUGCCUCCCGU
Molecule: ribosomal RNA, 403 nt
Filed under: Loktanella sp. Asnod2C05
Lineage: Bacteria; Pseudomonadati; Pseudomonadota; Alphaproteobacteria; Rhodobacterales; Roseobacteraceae
Description: bacterial SSU rRNA
Rfam family: Bacterial small subunit ribosomal RNA
Source: RNAcentral